This 468-nucleotide ribosomal RNA is filed under the name uncultured bacterium. RNAcentral describes it as "partial 16S ribosomal RNA". It matches the Rfam family "Bacterial small subunit ribosomal RNA", at positions 28 to 507 of the family's 1533-position model. The record is from RNAcentral.
GACGAACGCUGGCGGCGUGCUUAACACAUGCAAGUCGAACGGAAAGGCCCUGCUUUUGUGGGGUGCUCGAGUGGCGAACGGGUGAGUAACACGUGAGUAACCUGCCCUUGACUUUGGGAUAACUUCAGGAAACUGGGGCUAAUACCGGAUAGGAGCUCCUGCUGCAUGGCGGGGGUUGGAAAGUUUCGGCGGUUGGGGAUGGACUCGCGGCUUAUCAGCUUGUUGGUGGGGUAGUGGCUUACCAAGGCUUUGACGGGUAGCCGGCCUGAGAGGGUGACCGGCCACAUUGGGACUGAGAUACGGCCCAGACUCCUACGGGAGGCAGCAGUGGGGAAUAUUGCACAAUGGGCGGAAGCCUGAUGCAGCAACGCCGCGUGCGGGAUGACGGCCCUCGGGUUGUAAACCGCUUUCGCCUGUGACGAAGCGUGAGUGACGGUAAUGGGUAAAGAAGCACCGGCUAACUACGUG